GGAGCUCCGUGCCAGCGGCCGAGGUAGUUCAUGGGGGGCUAGCGUGGGCCGGAGUGAUUGGGCGGAAAGGGCUCGUAGGGGGUGUGGUAAGGAAGGUGUGAAAUCUCCACGCUCAACGUGGGGGCGCCACCUGAAACUGCCGUGACUCGAGUCCGGUAGGGGAGUGUGGAAUUCCCGGUGUAGCGGUGAAAUGCGCAGAUAUCGGGAGGAACACCAGUGGCGAAGGCGGCACUCUGGGCCGGUACUGACGCUGAGGAGCGAAAGCGUGGGGAGCGAACAGGAUUAGAUACCCUGGUAGUC
This 300-nucleotide ribosomal RNA is filed under the name uncultured Bacillus sp. RNAcentral's name for it is "bacterial SSU rRNA". It matches the Rfam family "Bacterial small subunit ribosomal RNA", at positions 497 to 795 of the family's 1533-position model. Lineage: Bacteria; Bacillati; Bacillota; Bacilli; Caryophanales; Bacillaceae. The record is from RNAcentral.